Molecule: ribosomal RNA, 253 nt
Filed under: uncultured bacterium
Lineage: Bacteria
Description: partial 16S ribosomal RNA
Rfam family: Bacterial small subunit ribosomal RNA
Source: RNAcentral
UACGGGGGGGGCAAGCGUUGUUCGGAAUUACUGGGCGUAAAGGGUUUGUAGGUGGCUUGUUAAGACAGACGUGAAAUCCCUCAGCUUAACUGGGGAACUGCGUCUGAUACUGGCGAGCUUGAGUGCAGGAGAGGAACGCGGAAUUCCAGGUGUAGCGGUGAAAUGCGUAGAUAUCUGGAGGAACACCGGUGGCGAAGGCGGCGUUCUGGACUGCAACUGACACUGAGAAACGAAAGCCAGGGUAGCAAACGGG